Molecule: non-coding RNA, 29 nt
Filed under: Rattus norvegicus (Norway rat)
Lineage: Eukaryota; Metazoa; Chordata; Mammalia; Rodentia; Muridae
Source: RNAcentral
UACAUUUACAUGUGUGUGUUGGUGUGUUU